This 408-nucleotide long non-coding RNA is filed under the name Brassica napus (rape). RNAcentral describes it as "long non-coding RNA (BNAP_LNC008220)". The record is from RNAcentral. Lineage: Eukaryota; Viridiplantae; Streptophyta; Magnoliopsida; Brassicales; Brassicaceae.
AUAUAAAGUCCAAUUAUCAAAAUAAUUAAUAAUAACUCAAUGUGUGAGCAUGAUCUUUGUUGACUAUACGAGUUUGGAAUCGAUUAUAAUCUUGAGGUAUAUGUUGUCUCUUACGAGUACCUACAACUCUUGGCAGUGAUAUGAGGUGUGAGCAUGAUUCAAAACACGUAAACUGUUAUUGUGUUAUUUAUUAUGAAUUUGUGAUAUUUAUCAUAUCUUGUGGUUCGUACAUCAUAAAUCAUAACCCUAAACAAUCUUAUUCGGAACCCAAACCCUAAAUAACUAAACCCUAUACCCUAAACGGCAAACAACAAAUCAGCCGUAAAGGUCUUACUAACUCAGCCUGUUAGUGUAAGUUAAUAUUUACAUAUGGCGCGAAAAUUUUAGAUAUUUUAUCUCGCGACCUUU